Long non-coding RNA from Lolium perenne, 7021 nucleotides. RefSeq lists it as uncharacterized. The record is from RefSeq and is a predicted model, not a curated record. Lineage: Eukaryota; Viridiplantae; Streptophyta; Magnoliopsida; Poales; Poaceae.
CAGCCCCUUCGCUCGCUCGUCCAUUCAUCUCCUGAUCGUAUCGUCUUCAGACCUAGGGUCUCUGCCGCCGCCGCCUCCUCACCGAGUCACCGGGGGCACACGAACUGAUCGCCGGCGGCCUGCAUUACCUCACCGGAGAAGGGAUCCCCCCUCCGCCGCCCGCCUGCCGCUGGAAUACGCAGUUUAGCAUUUAGCAAUGGCCAACUCGAACCCUGUAUUCCAGAUGUUAGAUGCUAUCCGUGUGAUUCCUCAAAAUUAUGAUCCGAAGUGGCCGCUAUGGAGGUACGUGAAUAAAAUUGCCAAGACUGGAAAAGGGAAAGGGGGCAAUGCGAAAAGCAUUUGUAGGCUUUGUGAUCGUGAUAUUUCUGGGAGUUACUCAAGAGUGAAAGCACAUCUGUUGAAGAUGGGAGAUGGUGGAGUGAAGCCUUGUCCAAAAGUUACUAUUGAUAUUUUAGUUCAGCUCAAAAGUGAACAAGACAAGGCUGAUGCAAGUAGCAAGAGCAACACACCUUUGAACAUUCCGCUGCCAUCUGAUGGUAAUGGGAGUGGGAGCAAGAGAAAGGCAUCAGCUAUUGAAGCAAGCUUUGAUCUCGAUACUUGCAACAAGCUGGAUAGCAAAGUUUAGUGAGCGUUGCCGGACGUCGAGGUGGUCUGGGUAAGGCUGACUGAGACCAGAUCCAUUGCAUCCUUAAUAUCCAAAACCCUCUGUCAAUGUUUGAGAAGUAUCACUGUGGAGAAGAUCGUGGUGAGAUUCAGAUUGGUGUGUUUUUGUUGUGUGCUUCCAACAUGUGUGCAAAAUUGUGAGUAGCUCAGUGCCAUUGAAUUUGGCCAUUUUUGUCCAAUGAGACCACUAUGUUAGAGGGGGGAGAGCUUGGAGUGGAGGUUUGUUUCUUUGAAGCCAAUGGCUUUCAGAGGUGGAGCAUUUUGGAGAGGAAGCUGAGUAUGUAUCCUUGAGGUGGAUGAGCAUGGAGAGGGAAUGUCGAUGAUUCUGACCACAAAGAUGCCUGACCACUGGUUGCUUCGGCCAUCUUUAUGGAUAACUGCGAAAAAGGAUUGUCCAGAAGGUUUUUUUUGGAAGCUGAGUAUUUAAAACUUGAGCUCAAUGGGGUUCAUUCGAGCUCUUUGCAGCCAACCCCCUUCUGUCCUUGAGCAACUGUUCCAUGGCCGGGAAUGACAAAGAGAAGCCGCUCGAGACCGGUCUGGUUCGUCGUCCAUGCCGGUCGGAAGGGGAGCUGCUAGGAUUCGCGGGCUACUGGAGGCAAGAGAUGGUGGCCUCGCUGAGGGAGAUCGGCCAGAAGAAAUAAGCGGGGCAGCUAGGCUUUGGGUGGUGGUAGAUUCAAACACCGAUGGCUACAACUGCAAGAAGCUACGACUCUUUUUUUGCACCAGAGGUCUUGGUGAACCAAUUCGAGAUGUCGUUGAGUUCUACAGGAUCUCCUCCACAGUGAUGUCCUAGCCAUCCAGAAGGAGAGGAUGUCGACGCUGUGAAGCGGUAGGCGAGGAUACCGCACGUGUUCUGCAAGAUGCUUAUCUUCUUCGACGCCCUCGACACAGGUGCACGAUUCCUCUUCUCCGGUGGUGACACGGUCAAUAGCGACACCCUUGACUUCAGCCUUCAUGACUUCUUCACUUCCCAGCCAGGCUGGCCAUCGUUUAUGAGGAAGAGCUGCUAAAGGCUGAUUGACAAGGGCAAGGUGGCGCGACGGUGAUGAUCUAGAGCAUCUUUCGCAGUUAUCUCGGCCUGUUAUUUAUGAGUAUCCUUCAAUCACUUUGUUUCAAUGUUUAUCACUUUUGAUCUUAUUAAAAUAAUCUUCAUCCAUGCAGAUUCUAUUUGAAUAAACAUGCACUUUUGUUGCACUGUUAUGCUGGCACUUUACCUGUGUUUCCCCUUUAAUACCAAUUCUUACUAUUGAACUACGUAUUUUGCUAUCUGUUCCAGUGACAGUUUAUUCACUAUUCAUUCAGAGAAGACAUGUUGGUUGGGGUGACACAACGACAUGUGCUGCAGCUCGGUUAGUUGGCCCAGCCAGGUCAUGCUCCCUGAGUCAUACUGCUUUUAUGCUUCUCUUUUGAAUUUCAUAAAUUUUAUAGAUAUGCUUGUGUACCAGAAAGGUAGGAUUUUGAUACAAAACUAAACCUUUAUUAGGAAACCACUUGGAUAAAUAGGUAAUCUUGAUGGAGAAACUAUUCCCACCCAUGCUAUUAUCAUUUUUUUUCUGCAAACGGAGAUGCAACGCUAGAAAUAUUCUUGGUGAGUUCAUGGUUCUGUUCUCUGUAGAUGAGAAAAACCUUUUGAAUCAACAUAAUUGAUAUAUAUUCCCAUUUUAAUAGCAUAAUGCUUAGUCAUAUUGGUUGCCUAUAAUUGCCAUGUAUUAACCGGUUAGUUAAAUAAUUCUGCUGACAUCUCUGCUCUAUGGGAAUAAAACAGAGUUGUAGGAGUUGACUCUCACAUGAGACCAACAAAAAGAAUAUUUUAUUUAGUUUUCUUUGUGACAUAUUUAAAAAAAAAUCAUAUUCAUGCUUUUUAAAGUGUCCGCCUUGGGACGCGUAGGCGUAGCAGUGCCUUGGAAAUGUUCCCACUUUAGGUGCUUAGGCACACUCUUAGGCUUCAGAGCGGGUUUAGAACCAUUUAGUACGCCUUAAUGCCCUAAAAACCAUGGUAUAUUUCACAAAUAUCAGAGCUCGGCUAGAAAAAGGUACGAAGCAAUCGAUGGAACUGAUCUACCAUUGGAAAGUUUGAGUCAGGCUAUUGCUAAGGGAAGAUGCAUGACCUUCCCUAAUUCUCUGCCUAAAAGAAGGUGCAUGCUCCCAUUCUGUUGUAAUUUAAUCAUGAUAUUCCUUCUUUGAAUGAUAAACUACAAGCAUUUGGUUUCAUUGUCUGUAGUUGUUAAUAAAUAUCAUGUUCUCAACAAUUUAUGCUAUGCAGCAUCGUUAUCUAUCUUCUAUUUAUUAAAAAAAAGGUUUCAGAGGGAGUCGGUCUGCCCAGUGGGCAUUGAUGAAACCAGCAACUCUUGUGUCGUUUGCUGAUGGUUCGAAAAGACUCUUUUCACUAUUUACCAGACAAAUCAAAGACCAAUCGCGAAAAUUCAUUUGCUUUAGGUUAGUGCGUGUGCGUGUGACUGCAGAGCAGCCCAAUAAUUUUUUUGCUGAAUGUAUUGUUCUUCUCUGUGUUCACUCUUGGAUUGCUCCAAGGAUAGGAAAUGUUAGUUCACCUUGACCAACUUAAUAUUGUUGAGUAGACGGUGUUCAGUGUUGUGAAUACUACCCUGCAAUUUUUGUAAAGUUUUCAUGUUCAUAGAUUUGAUAUUCAGUAAAAAUGCAGUCUGCGUAUUUGUUUAAUACAGUUUAGCAAUUCUUAAGCAGGGAAUGCACUCUACAAUGUUAAGACUACUUCCAUUGGUACUAAACAACUAAGAUUUAUCUUUCCAUUGGUACUGAACUACUAACGUUUAUCUUUCCUUAGCACACAUUGGAAAUAUUUUUCUUAGCUUCAAGGCAAAACACUUUUCAGGGCAUGUAUGUACUUUUCUAAGGUUAUCUAAAAACAGAUUUUUAGCAUUUGCUGCUCGUUUGAUAGUUCUGAGCUUAGGAACGGAGGGAGUACACUUACCCCAUAUUUGGUCAUUGUACUUAAGCAGAUCCAAUUUGUAUAUCACAUUAAUUGGAUGUCGCAAGAUUUUUUUCUCUUUUCUCCCAUUAUACUGCCUACUGCUCUACUUUUAUGCCUUUUGUUGUCAAAUGUGAGUGGAAUAUUAAUGCAAUUACAUCGAGAACUGUGUCACUGACAUUUUGGCAUAUCUGCACUCAUGUAGGACCAUCUACUUAUAUGCUCUUUGGAGUGAUUGUAAUCCUAUCAGAUAACCAGUAAAGCUCUAUGAAUUCGCAAAAAAAAGAAUAUAUCAUUAUGUUUGAAUUAGUCAAAAAAGAAUAUAGCAUUAUGUUUAAAUUAGUGUUUACCAGAAUACCUCUGCUGCCACUACUAUUCACUAAGUAAGAGAAAUGGUUGAUUGUAUGUGUAUAAAAUCGACAUAUGUUUCGUUACUUUGCUUGAUAAAUCUUUGCUUUCCUCGAGUUUUUCUUAAUACUACAAUAAGCUAAAGUUCAUGGUUUAGAUUCUGAUAUGAUGGUGACCCCUCUCGUUUGAGGAAGUAGCUUUGUUUUCUGAUUAUAGAAAUUUUGGAUCCUUGGAUUAUUUCAUUUCUGUGUUGGAAACAGCUUGUGGCUGCAUUCCAGUUUUGGCAAAUGAUCCAGGGCAAAAGCACUUUCAUCUUGUUCAUCUAUUUACGGUCAUGUAUUUUUCCCCUCCAAAAAUAACAUGCAGCUGGUUUGAUAAACACCAUCCUCCAUGUUUUCAGUGCACUUUCUGAAACAAUAAUGCUUCCCACAAGGGUUUCCUGUGAGGAUUUUCUCUACAUCUACCCGUUACUAUCAUAAUGAGAUGGUAUGACCGAAUAUUACCGUGUGGAGAGCCGCUGACAUGUUUGCUUCUGUACUUUGUUUGUUGCCCCCUAUCCGGGGGAAGAUGGGUAACAGAACUUGAUUUGAUUGAUGAAAUGCCAAUGGUGGUGAUGUAGAAAUAUGAUGUCAGUGUUCACCAUUCAUGUUCCUGGGCAAUUAUGUUCUAAGCGUGAUUGUGACCAAUAGGUCCAUCUGUCUGAUACAAGGGCGAGUGGCUGAAUAGUGUUCAAGCAGAACCUGAUGUUAUCUCAAUGCCUUUUGUACCUAUUACUUCACUAUUGAAUGGAUUUCUUGGAAGUGGACCUUUGAAUCAUGCAAUCAAUUUGUACCUUCGAUAUUGUUGGGUGUAAGUUUUCAGACGAUCACCUUGCUACUCGGGAUUUUUUCGAGCUCAACUCAAGUUCAAAAGGAAUAUCCACACCAACUCUCAUUUCGAGGUUAGAAUGUCCUUCUACUUGCCCGUGAACAAUGACAGCUAUUAUUUGCCACAUUGGUCAUCAUGGUGUGACAAAUAAUAGAAGUGAAACGAAAAGUAUGGCAAAUACUAAAAUGCCAUUUUCAGUUUCAACAUUUGGCUGGUUCACCGAUUUGCCAUGGGCAAGUCGGAGCUCAUCGAAUAAAGGGGUCAUCACAACACUCUAAUGGCGCACCAAGUGUUUGUUGAUCCAAGGCGAGGUCAGCAAAUACUUGGUCCGUCAUGAGAGUGAUGUGAUGAUCCCUUUAUUCGAUGAGCUCCGACUUGCCCAUGGCAUGUCGGUGAACCAGGCAAAUGUUGAAACUGAAAAGGGCAUUUUAGUAUUUGCCAUACUUUUUGUUUCACUUCUAUCAUUUGUCACACCGUGGUGGCCAAUGUGGCAAAUAAUAGUUGUCAUUGUUCACGGGCAAGUAGAAGGACAUUUUGACCUCCAAAUGAAAGUUGGUGUGCAAGUUCUUUUUGAACUUGAGUUGAGCUUGGAAGAAUCCCAAGUAGCAAGUGGAUCGUCUGAAAGAGGGGAUCAUAAUGCUACUGCUGGGACUUCCGAUUCGAGCAAAGUGAUUCAACAAGGGAAUCUGGCUGCUGUGGUUUAGUUGAACCGCCGGAAUUGAAAGAACAUUAGGAGCAUCCUGCCGUUGGACUAUCAGUUUCGUGAUUACAUGCAUCUUGAAGCUGCACCGUGGGCCCUCUAGAACUAUCAGUUUCGUGAUUAUAUGCAUCUUGAAGCUGCACCGUGGGACUUAACAGUACUAGUUGAGAACAAAUCACGCAUUUUUCUUGCACGUGCACCUUCAGGUUACAGAGAAACGCCGGAGCAGGAGCCCCAAUUCUCGACGUGCAGGUGGAGGUGGAGGGAGGAUGCCGGAGGGAUUCACAACGACGACGAAUGAGAGGCUGCUGGAGGUGGUGCGGCCUAUGAGGACGCGCGGCGGGGGAUGCUAGCUGUAGAUGUCGAGAUACGCUGACGGGGCUCCAUGAAACUGUUGGAUUGAAGGGAAAUGGCUACUUGCUUCUCAUUUGGAGAAGUCAUGUGCUAGAAUUUGCUGCUCAUUCAAGUGAUCUUUCAGGCUCUACUAUUCAGAUUUUGUCUCCAUUGGUAUGGAGGAUAAAUUUUUUAUGCGCCAGGCAUAGCUUUUCACCUUGAGUUUCUACCUUGUUCUUUUAAGUCAUCAGUUUGGACAACCCAAUAAAUAAAUCUAUAGCUGUUUUGAGCAGAUAAAAUCUUUGUUUGUGAAAUCAGAUAAAUUGUUAAAAGGGCAUAGAAUAUACGUACCUGGUGUAGUGAAGUACCACAGGUUAGAUCCUUCCCGGUAUCAAGAUGCUGCAAGAUCGUUGCUUUUGCCAAAUGUAGGUUAUUAACACCAGGACAAUUGGAUGGUAGAGGUCAGAUCGGAGUAUAUUGGAUGAAGUUGCUAAAAAUAAGAGGAAUGCGUAAUUGGGGCGAUGAUUGGUCAUUUAUAGAUCUAUUUAUUCCAGAACUUGGAUGGAGGAGGUUAUUCUGAAGUAAGUUUGGGCAAAAAAAGACCUGGAUAGAUCAAAGAAAUACAUCAAGAUGUCGCAGUUUGCACUAUGUUCUGAAGUGGUCGGGAAGGAUGUGUUGCCAACACCACCGAGCUUCGGGUAGAUGGACGGCCGAAUCUUGAACACAGCCCACACCGUCCCUAUCGCGUGGCCGGCAGUGUCGACCCUUCAUUCGUCGCUGCAGCACAUUUUUCUUCGUACGUGAAGGAGAAGAAGCAGUGUAAAGGGAAGAUUCUCGGUACUGUGGUCAAAGGAGGAGCAGAAACAAGCACUCGUGAGACACAAGAUCGGUGGCCACGCUCGAUAAUGUUGACAACAUCCUGAAGCCCACGACACUCCCCGAGUUCACCAUAUGAUCAUAGAGCAGCAAGAAUCAAGCUUCGUUGUUCGCAACCACUAGCAAAUAGAAGCCUGCAUUUUCAGUGCCCGCUUGUAGAUAUGUGUGCUAUAAACAAAUAGGAACUUGAGUGUCAUGUCCUUUUCCUCUACUAUUGUGAUGGGAACAAUACAUCCUUGUUUGGUUUGGUUAUGUGUGUUGGCUGAUGAAAUGGGGUGAACUGGCUUUUA